RNAcentral lists this transfer RNA (72 nucleotides) under Camelus bactrianus (Bactrian camel). It matches the Rfam family "tRNA". Rfam says of the family: Transfer RNA (tRNA) molecules are approximately 80 nucleotides in length. Their secondary structure includes four short double-helical elements and three loops (D, anti-codon, and T loops). The record is from Rfam by way of RNAcentral. RNAcentral also lists the same sequence under 2 other names. Lineage: Eukaryota; Metazoa; Chordata; Mammalia; Artiodactyla; Camelidae.
GUGGGUAUAGCUCAGUGGUAGAGUGCAUGCUUAGCAUGCACAAGGUCCUGGGCUCGAUACCUAGUACCUCCU